Molecule: non-coding RNA, 135 nt
Organism: Triticum urartu
Lineage: Eukaryota; Viridiplantae; Streptophyta; Magnoliopsida; Poales; Poaceae
Source: Rfam
CAUGUACUCCCUCCGUCCGGAAAUACUUGUCAUCGAAAUGGACAAAAGGGGAUGUAUCUAGACGUAUUUUAGUUCUAGAUACAUCCCUUUUUAUCCAUUUUGAUGACAAGUAUUUUCGGACGGAGGGAGUAACAA